UUAUUGAACGCUGGCGGCAGGCCUAACACAUGCAAGUCGAGCGGUAGCACAGAGAGCUUGCUCUCGGGUGACGAGCGGCGGACGGGUGAGUAAUGUCUGGGAAACUGCCUGAUGGAGGGGGAUAACUACUGGAAACGGUAGCUAAUACCGCAUAAUGUCGCAAGACCAAAGUGGGGGACCUUCGGGCCUCAUGCCAUCAGAUGUGCCCAGAUGGGAUUAGCUAGUAGGUGGGGUAACGGCUCACCUAGGCGACGAUCCCUAGCUGGUCUGAGAGGAUGACCAGCCACACUGGAACUGAGACACGGUCCAGACUCCUACGGGAGGCAGCAGUGGGGAAUAUUGCACAAUGGGCGCAAGCCUGAUGCAGCCAUGCCGCGUGUGUGAAGAAGGCCUUCGGGUUGUAAAGCACUUUCAGCGGGGAGGAAGGCGUUAAGGUUAAUAACCUUGGCGAUUGACGUUACCCGCAGAAGAAGCACCGGCUAACUCCGUGCCAGCAGCCGCGGUAAUACGGAGGGUGCAAGCGUUAAUCGGAAUUACUGGGCGUAAAGCGCACGCAGGCGGUCUGUCAAGUCGGAUGUGAAAUCCCCGGGCUCAACCUGGGAACUGCAUUCGAAACUGGCAGGCUAGAGUCUUGUAGAGGGGGGUAGAAUUCCAGGUGUAGCGGUGAAAUGCGUAGAGAUCUGGAGGAAUACCGGUGGCGAAGGCGGCCCCCUGGACAAAGACUGACGCUCAGGUGCGAAAGCGUGGGGAGCAAACAGGAUUAGAUACCCUGGUAGUCCACGCCGUAAACGAUGUCGAUUUGGAGGUUGUGCCCUUGAGGCGUGGCUUCCGGAGCUAACGCGUUAAAUCGACCGCCUGGGGAGUACGGCCGCAAGGUUAAAACUCAAAUGAAUUGACGGGGGCCCGCACAAGCGGUGGAGCAUGUGGUUUAAUUCGAUGCAACGCGAAGAACCUUACCUGGUCUUGACAUCCACAGAACUUAGCAGAGAUGCUUUGGUGCCUUCGGGAACUGUGAGACAGGUGCUGCAUGGCUGUCGUCAGCUCGUGUUGUGAAAUGUUGGGUUAAGUCCCGCAACGAGCGCAACCCUUAUCCUUUGUUGCCAGCGGUUAGGCCGGGAACUCAAAGGAGACUGCCAGUGAUAAACUGGAGGAAGGUGGGGAUGACGUCAAGUCAUCAUGGCCCUUACGACCAGGGCUACACACGUGCUACAAUGGCAUAUACAAAGAGAAGCGACCUCGCGAGAGCAAGCGGACCUCAUAAAGUAUGUCGUAGUCCGGAUUGGAGUCUGCAACUCGACUCCAUGAAGUCGGAAUCGCUAGUAAUCGUAGAUCAGAAUGCUACGGUGAAUACGUUCCCGGGCCUUGUACACACCGCCCGUCACACCAUGGGAGUGGGUUGCAAAAGAAGUAGGUAGCUUAACCUUCGGGAGGGCGCUUACCACUUUGUGAUUCA
RNAcentral lists this ribosomal RNA (1453 nucleotides) under uncultured organism. Its description in RNAcentral is "SSU rRNA". It matches the Rfam family "Bacterial small subunit ribosomal RNA". The record is from RNAcentral.